RNAcentral lists this unclassified non-coding RNA (993 nucleotides) under Hevea brasiliensis (rubber tree). The record is from RNAcentral. Lineage: Eukaryota; Viridiplantae; Streptophyta; Magnoliopsida; Malpighiales; Euphorbiaceae.
GUGGCUCAAAUAUUCCAGCACAGGUGAGAGAAAGAAGAAUUCAUUUUAUGUGGUUUUCCUUGCAUUUAUUCUAUCUUAUUUUUAUUUCUCCUUUUGGUCUUUAUCUGUAACUAUCUGCCAUCAGCACUUCUAGAGUUCAAUAUGUAUGCUAAUCAUGAUUUUGAGCGGUACACAAUUAACUUGCUAUGAAAUGUCUAUUUUAUAUCAUCUAUUCCUCCAAUACAAAGGUUUCCUACCUUUGUAAGAUGCAGGCAUUUGCUGGGUGUUAGAAAAUUGGGAAGCCUCUUUUGUGGACAAUCCUUUACCUCAAUUCAGAUUUAAUUUCAAUCAUAUAUGAUGAUCCUAUGGCUAUUGAAAGAAUGGUGUGAUACGAACACUUGACCCAUUGCUCAGCAGAAGGGUUAGUAGGAUUGGGGGAAGGUGUCAAGUUUGAAUCAUUUGUACGUUUAAGUUCUACUUUGAGCAUAUCUGCUGGUCAAUACAUCUAGUUGUGGGCUUGGUGAAAAGAGGAAGGAAAAACUUUUUAAGUAUAAAGCAAAAUUUAUCAUAAAUGAUGAAGAGCUUAUGUGAGCUGUUUUUUUGGAGUCUUAAAUACAUGGCCCAGCUACAACAUACUCAAUAAUAUCACCUUCUACCCUCUGAUGAGAAAUUCUUGGGUAGAUUUAAUCUACCACGUCAUUUGUGGAGUCAACCAAUAAAAUCAUGCCAAGUUAGUAUAAUCAUGGAUAAAAUAUGCAAUUUAUCCAUAAUUAUAAUUGAAUCAUCAUUGUUGUGAAAGAACUCUAUCAGUUUAGUCCAUAGUCACGUGGUAAACUAAGUCUAUGCAGUAUUUAUCUUUCAUUCACAUUGCUUUGCUCAUAUUGCUAAUUUCGGUGAAUUUAACAGUGAAAAUUUUGGUUUUUGUUCAUGUAUGUAGCAUGCAUGAGUAUAUUCUAUCUUAUUAUGUAAGAGUGAACGUUUUUGUAUUAUAGGAAUGGAUUGACAGUUGACACU